This 1213-nucleotide ribosomal RNA is filed under the name metagenome. Its description in RNAcentral is "bacterial SSU rRNA". It matches the Rfam family "Bacterial small subunit ribosomal RNA", at positions 298 to 1498 of the family's 1533-position model. The record is from RNAcentral.
UGAUGAUCAGCCACACUGGAACUGACACUCGGUCCAGACUCCUACGGGAGGCAGCAGUGAGGAAUUUUGCGCAAUGGGGGAAACCCUGACGCAGCAACGCCGCGUGAGUGAUGAAGGCUUUCGGGUUGUAAAGCUCUGUCAAGUGGGAAGAAACCACGAGGUGAUAAUAUCGCUUUGUGCUGACGGUACCACUGAAGGAAGCACCGGCUAACUCCGUGCCAGCAGCCGCGGUAAUACGGGGGGUGCAAGCGUUAUUCGGAAUCAUUGGGCGUAAAGGGCGCGUAGGCGGCUUGUUAAGUCAGAUGUGAAAGCCCGGGGCUCAACCCCGGAAGUGCAUUUGAUACUGGCGGACUUGAGUAUGGGAGAGGGAAGUGGAAUUCCUGGUGUAGAGGUGAAAUUCGUAGAUAUCAGGAGGAACACCGGUGGCGAAGGCGACCUCCUGGACCAAUACUGACGCUGAGGCGCGAAGGCGUGGGUAGCAAACAGGAUUAGAUACCCUGGUAGUCCACGCAGUAAACGGUGAUCACUAGGUGUAGCGGGUAUUGACCCCUGCUGUGCCGCAGUUAACGCAUUAAGUGAUCCGCCUGGGGAGUACGGCCGCAAGGUUAAAACUCAAAGGAAUUGACGGGGGCCCGCACAAGCGGUGGAGCAUGUGGUUUAAUUCGACGCAACGCGAAGAACCUUACCUGGGUUUGACAUCUCGGGGAUUUUUUGGAAACAAGAAAGUGCCCUUCGGGGAGCCCGAAGACAGGUGCUGCAUGGCUGUCGUCAGCUCGUGUCGUGAGAUGUUGGGUUAAGUCCCGCAUCGAGCGCAACCCUUAUCUUUAGUUACCAUCACUUCGGGUGGGGACUCUAAAGAUACUGCCCCGGUCAACGGGGAGGAAGGUGGGGAUGACGUCAAGUCCUCAUGGCCUUUAUGCCCAGGGCUACACACGUGCUACAAUGGGCGAUACAAAGGGUAGCGAGCCUGCGAAGGUGAGCCAAUCCCAAAAAGUCGUUCUUAGUUCGGAUUGGAGUCUGCAACUCGACUCCAUGAAGCUGGAAUCGCUAGUAAUCGCGGAUCAGCACGCCGCGGUGAAUACGUUCCCGGGCCUAGUACACACCGCCCGUCACACCAUGAGAGUUGGUUGUACCAGAAGUUGUUGGGCUAACCCGCAAGGGAGGCAGGCACCUAAGGUAUGGCUGAUGAUUGGGGUGAAGUCGGAACAAGGUA